This 748-nucleotide long non-coding RNA is filed under the name Pan troglodytes (chimpanzee). RNAcentral's name for it is "lincRNA". The record is from RNAcentral. Lineage: Eukaryota; Metazoa; Chordata; Mammalia; Primates; Hominidae.
GAAUCAGGCCAAGACACAGAAAUAUACUGCAUGCCAAAAUGUAAAGGUGACAUGAGUGACCAAAAGAGAGGGAAAGUGAAAGGUCAAGGGAGAAACUCUCAGCAUGUAGGUACAGAACCAUUUCCAUGAGGUCAGCUACAUUCCAAAGUGGCUGCGGCACUGGAUGGGAGCUGUCGGGACAUGCUGCACAGCCCAAGACAGUCUUUGAAGAUGGCUGGAUGCAUGACCUUGUCAUAUACGUAAAACAUCCACAGACUAACUGGAAAAGGACUUCACCUCAGCCAAAGUGAGUGCAUUGCAGAAUAAGUGCAGAGAGCUUACCUUGGUUUUUAAAGAUAUUGCAAUCCGUUUUAACUGGGGAUCUCAUUGCGAUGUGCUCCUAUGUCUUGAGACAGGGCCUUCAAGGGGAUCAAUAUUUCCAGGAUGUUGGUAUUAGCAUCCAUUGUUCGCUGGCUAGAUCUUUUCCAACAGAGCAUGUGACUCUCGUCAUUACAGCAGCGGAAUGCAUUUAUCAAAGUUAAGGAAGUCGUUUGCCAUUCGGAUGGCCCAAGAAGCAUAAAUAUUUAUCAUUGAGCCUUGAGAGAACUCUCUAUUAUAAAAAGAUUGGCUAAUUUCUUAAAACUACUCCUUCAGUAAGGACCCAGGUUAUGUGCCAUGGUAUCUGUAGCUUUCUGGCUGGGUCAGGGUGACCUGCACACAACCCUGGCAGGACGCCCUUGGACACAGUAUUUGCACCCCUUUGGUGUGC